UCUCCGUUGGUGAACCAGCGGAGGGAUCAUUACCGAGCUUACAACUCCCAAACCCCUGUGAACAUACCUAUCGUUGCCUCGGCGGUGCCCGCUCCGGCGGCCCGCCAGAGGACCCCCAAACUCUUGUUUUAUACAGUAUCUUCUGAGUAACACGAUUAAAUAAAUCAAAACUUUCAACAACGGAUCUCUUGGUUCUG
Molecule: unclassified non-coding RNA, 197 nt
Filed under: plant metagenome
Description: partial contains small subunit ribosomal RNA, internal transcribed spacer 1, and 5.8S ribosomal RNA
Source: RNAcentral